Molecule: ribosomal RNA, 430 nt
Filed under: uncultured bacterium
Lineage: Bacteria
Description: bacterial SSU rRNA
Rfam family: Bacterial small subunit ribosomal RNA
Source: RNAcentral
UGGGGAAUCUUGCACAAUGGGCGCAAGCCUGAUGCAGCAACGCCGCGUGAGUGAAGAAGGCCCUUGGGUUGUAAAGCUCUUUCGGCUAGGAAGAAGGGUCAUUUGGUUAACACCCCUAUGAUCUGACGGUACUAGAAGAAGAAGCACCGGCAAAUUUCGUGCCAGCAGCUGCGGUAAUACGGAAGGUGCAAGCGUUGUUCGGAAUGACUGGGCGUAAAGAGCACGUAGGUGGGUUCGUAUGUCGGAUGUGAAAGCCCCAGGCUUAACCUGGGAACUGCAUUCGAAACUGCGGAUCUUGAAUGUUUGAGAGGUUAGCGGAAUUCCAGGUGUAGGAGUGAAAUCCGUAGAUAUCUGGAGGAACAUCAGAGGCGAAGGCGGCUAACUGGCGAUACAUUGACACUGAGGUGCGAAAGCGUGGGGAGCAAACAGG